UACGAAGGGGGCUAGCGUUGCUCGGAAUUACUGGGCGUAAAGGGCGCGUAGGCGGACAGUUUAGUCAGAGGUGAAAGCCCCGGGCUUAACCUGGGAAUGGCAUUUUAGACUGGAUAUCUGGAGUACAGUAGAGGGUGGAGGAAUUUCCGGUGUAGCGGUGAAAUGCGUAGAUAUCGGAAGGAACACCAGUGGCGAAGGCGACCACCUGGACUGAUACUGACACUGAGGCGCGAGAGCGUGGGUAGCAAACAGG
This 253-nucleotide ribosomal RNA is filed under the name uncultured bacterium. RNAcentral describes it as "partial 16S ribosomal RNA". It matches the Rfam family "Bacterial small subunit ribosomal RNA", at positions 524 to 776 of the family's 1533-position model. The record is from RNAcentral.